Long non-coding RNA from Chelonus insularis, 1683 nucleotides. RefSeq lists it as uncharacterized. The transcript has 5 exons. The record is from RefSeq and is a predicted model, not a curated record. NCBI's taxonomy places the organism in Eukaryota, Metazoa, Arthropoda, Insecta, Hymenoptera, Braconidae.
UUCAUCUUGAUAUUCUUAUAUAUUGAAAAAAUUUGUCUCCAUAAUAUAACGGAUUGUUUUAAUCUAAGUCCCUUGUCUCUUGUAUCAUGUUGGCACAUCGAUCAAAUGACGUUAUGAAUCUUAAAAAAACUUAGUGUGACUGUGCAUAUAGUCUUGACACGUCUCUUGACAAAGAAUGAUCGUGUCUUUUACGAAUAACCUACCCAAUAGCGUGAUUACAACUGACUUAUGAUGACAUCUUAGCCCUUGAAAUGACAAUCUAAACGUAUCUGACAUGAUCUUAAUCUUUCUCAUGUCACUGUCGUUUUUUUUUAUACAUUGAAAUAACUUUCAAGUGAACAAUCCUUCGAUUAUUCAAUAAGAAUUAAACUAUGCCAUCUAAUAUAUAUUUAUAGUGUAUUUACACAAUGGCAUCGUAUACGAGGUUAUAAUGAUAUUCAACACUCUUCAGAUUCGCUACAGUUUCUGCAAGUAAAAAGUUUUUACUGUUUGACGAUGAUAACAUUCUUAAAUUUUGCAAAGCAAACAAACUAAGAAAAAUACAGAAAAUCAAGGAGAUUACAAAAUUGUUAACAUAAUCAGUUUAAUAUUUUAUGAGUGACAUAUCAUUUAUUGGCAAAUCUUUCUCCAAAAUUGUCAUUGAGAUUAAUAAUGCCAGCAUGAAUUCCAACCGACUUUAUUAUGGAUUGAUAAGAGAUGUUUAAUGUUACAAAUCUCUAUUACAAUAAUGCAGUAAUAAUUUUGUUUCCAAUCGUAAAAGGUGCUAGAAUACAAUACCGAUCAGGCAGCCUUAGUUGUUGUUAUUGUUGUGCAACUUGCAAGACAACAUUAGGAUCAUUUUCCCAUUGAAUCAUUGGUGAUAGGCCUGGUUGAAUUCUCCAAUGUCCACCAUUAUACAGUGUAUGAACGUGGCGUAUAUUUCGUAUUAAUUCAACAAUACGAUCCAUGCUGACUGGCCCAACACAACUAUUAUCACUCAAUACAUUCUGAUUAUGAAUGUAGCCCACCAUAAGGGAGUUCAACUCACGUAAUCUUCUGAAAUUGUUUGGAUCAACAAUCUCUACAGCAUCUGAUUCAAAAUCAUUUGAUGGAUCAUCAUGGCGACUUGAUGGGCCUAUAAAAAUAUUUCCUGGCAUCCAUAUAUAUCUAGAAAUAAAAGACUCGAAGGAAUCCAUAAGCAAAGCAACUGGAAUUAUAUGAUGUCUAGCGGCGUUAACCACUUCGUUCGGUCCCAAUUGAAUUUGCAUUAUGCUACCAAUGACUCUUCUACCAUCUGGUCGUGAAUUUAUAUACAAUGGAGAUGUGUAGUAUUCGUCCCAUUCUCCUCCAGAGAAAACUGGACAACCGGCUGAGCUUUGUGUUACAUUAGGACGAAUAGCAAUAGAAACACCACAUAAAGUAAUUAAGGUGAAAAAUAAUCGUAACAUGAUGAAGACUGUACAACGAACGACUGUUGAUGUGCUGCUAUAUGAGUAGGAUUUAUAUACACUUGCUCGUGGCGGCAGCAGUGUAAUACUUUGCAUAAACACCGAUAAGAGACAAAUGUGUAUUAAGUGCAGAUAGAAAAAAACGUAUUUGAAAAAUGUUUGGUUUAAAAUGAAUUUUUUCUAAUCUUUUACUAUCUAUAGUUGUUAAAUUUUGUACUGAUAUUUAAAAACAAACUGUAUCACUAAGACAUAUAAA